GUGCUUGCUUUGGCAGUCCAUAUGCUAAAUUUAGAAUGAUAGAGAAAAUUAGCAUGGCCGUGUGCAAGGAGGACACACAAAUUCAUGGGGAAAAAAAAGAAUCCU
Small nuclear RNA from Marmota flaviventris (yellow-bellied marmot), 105 nucleotides. The record is from RefSeq and is a predicted model, not a curated record. NCBI's taxonomy places the organism in Eukaryota, Metazoa, Chordata, Mammalia, Rodentia, Sciuridae.